UACAGAGGUCUCGAGCGUUAGGCGGAAUCACUGGGCUUAAAGCGUGUGUAGGCGGAUCGUUAAGUGCCUUGUGAAAUCCCACGGCUCAACCGUGGAACUGCUCGGCAUACUGGCGGUCUUGAGCAACCUAGGGGCGAGCGGAACAAAUGGUGGAGCGGUGAAAUGCGUAGAUAUCAUUUGGAACGCCAAUGGUGAAAACAGGUCGCUGGGGAUGUGCUGACGCUGAGACACGAAAGCCAGGGGAGCAAACGGG
RNAcentral lists this ribosomal RNA (253 nucleotides) under uncultured bacterium. RNAcentral's name for it is "partial 16S ribosomal RNA". It matches the Rfam family "Bacterial small subunit ribosomal RNA", at positions 524 to 776 of the family's 1533-position model. The record is from RNAcentral.